AGUUCACUGCACCCACUGCGAGCCAUUGUCCAGCGUACCAACCGCUUCCGCUCAAGGUGUCCGGGAGGCGUCGAACGGACUUGGAAGCUCCUGUACUUGUAGAGACCGGCAGGCGUUGACCAGCUGCCGUACAAUAUCGGACCCUGCUGUGCCCACCCUGUCGGCGUAAUGGAUUUUCGCCUGACGGAACCUCGCCUGAGCCCCAAGCAGCAGGCGCUGCUACUGCGAGUCGGGCUCGUCCUGCUUGCGGCGGCGGUGAUUCUGACGACCGUGGUGCUCGUGCUGACGAGGAGCCACCGCGUGAUGCCUCUCGACCUGAAAGCCGUAGCGAAGAAGUCGCCGCAUCGGGCCGCGCAACUGUGCAACACUACCUCCUGUCGCCUGGCGGCGUCG
Molecule: long non-coding RNA, 393 nt
Organism: Dermacentor andersoni
Lineage: Eukaryota; Metazoa; Arthropoda; Arachnida; Ixodida; Ixodidae
Source: RefSeq, a predicted model, not a curated record